RNAcentral lists this ribosomal RNA (465 nucleotides) under uncultured bacterium. RNAcentral describes it as "partial 16S ribosomal RNA". It matches the Rfam family "Bacterial small subunit ribosomal RNA", at positions 29 to 507 of the family's 1533-position model. The record is from RNAcentral.
AUGAACGCUGGCGGCGUGCUUAACACAUGCAAGUCGAACGGAAAGGCCCAAGCUUGCUUGGGUGCUCGAGUGGCGAACGGGUGAGUAACACGUGGGUGAUCUGCCCUGCACUUUGGGAUAAGCCUGGGAAACUGGGUCUAAUACCGGAUAGGACCAUCGUUUAGUGUCGGUGGUGGAAAGUUUUUCGGUGUGGGAUGAGCUCGCGGCCUAUCAGCUUGUUGGUGGGGUAAUGGCCUACCAAGGCGUCGACGGGUAGCCGGCCUGAGAGGGUGUACGGCCACAUUGGGACUGAGAUACGGCCCAGACUCCUACGGGAGGCAGCAGUGGGGAAUAUUGCACAAUGGGCGCAAGCCUGAUACAGCGACGCCGCGUGGGGGAUGACGGCCUUCGGGUUGUAAACUCCUUUCGCCAAGGACGAAGCGUUUUGUGACGGUACUUGGAGAAGAAGCACCGGCUAACUACGUG